Molecule: unclassified non-coding RNA, 229 nt
Filed under: uncultured fungus
Lineage: Eukaryota; Fungi
Description: sequence contains ITS1, 5.8S rRNA gene
Rfam family: 5.8S ribosomal RNA (bases 181-229)
Source: RNAcentral
UCUCCGUUGGUGAACCAGCGGAGGGAUCAUUACCGAGUUUACAACUCCCAAACCCCUGUGAACAUACCAAUUGUUGCCUCGGCGGAUCAGCCCGCUCCCGGUAAAACGGGACGGCCCGCCAGAGGACCCCUAAACUCUGUUUUUAGUGGAACUUCUGAGUAAAACAAACAAAUAAAUCAAAACUUUCAACAACGGAUCUCUUGGUUCUGGCAUCGAUGAAGAACGCAGC